CCCUUAGAUGUCCGGGGCUGCACGCGCGCUACACUGAAGGAAUCAGCGUGCUAAAACCAUUGUCGAAAGGCAUUGGUAAACCCAUUAAAAUCCUACGUGAUUGGGAUCGGGAAUUGCAAUUAUUUCCCUUGAACGAGGAAUUCCCAGUAAGUGUGGGUCAUAAGCUCGCGUUGAUUACGUCCCUGCCCUUUGUACACACCGCCCGUCGCUGCCCGGGACUGAGCCGUUUCGAGAAAAGCGGGGACUGCUGCUGUCGGGGCUUUCGGGCCUUGGCUUCGGUGGAAACCGCUUUAAUCGCAGUGGCUUGAACCGGGCAAAANUCGUAGCA
RNAcentral lists this ribosomal RNA (328 nucleotides) under uncultured eukaryote. RNAcentral describes it as "partial 18S ribosomal RNA". It matches the Rfam family "Eukaryotic small subunit ribosomal RNA", at positions 1470 to 1796 of the family's 1831-position model. The record is from RNAcentral.